This 1064-nucleotide ribosomal RNA is filed under the name Verruconis tricladiata. RNAcentral's name for it is "SSU rRNA". It matches the Rfam family "Eukaryotic small subunit ribosomal RNA", at positions 54 to 1131 of the family's 1831-position model. The record is from RNAcentral. Lineage: Eukaryota; Fungi; Ascomycota; Dothideomycetes; Venturiales; Sympoventuriaceae.
CAUGUCGAAGUAUAAAAGCAACUAUACUGUGAAACUGCGAAUGGCUCAUUAAAUCAGUUAUCGUUUAUUUGAUAGUGCCUUACUACUUGGAUAACCGUGGUAAUUCUAGAGCUAAUACAUGCAUCAAACCCCGACAGGGGUGUAUUUAUUAGAUAAAAAACCAAUGCCCUCCGGGGCUGCUUGGUGAAUCAUGAUAACUUAACGAAUCGCAUGGCCUUGCGCCGGCGAUGGUUCAUUCAAAUUUCUGCCCUAUCAACUUUCGAUUGUAGUUUAGUGGACUACAAUGGUUUCAACGGGUAACGGGGAAUUAGGGUUCGACUCCGGAGAGGGAGCCUGAGAAACGGCUACCACAUCCAAGGAAGGCAGCAGGCGCGCAAAUUACCCAAUCCCGACACGGGGAGGUAGUGACAAUAAAUACUGAUACAGGGCUCUUUUGGGUCUUGUAAUUGGAAUGAGUACAAUCUAAAUCCCUUAACGAGGAACAAUUGGAGGGCAAGUCUGGUGCCAGCAGCCGCGGUAAUUCCAGCUCCAAUAGCGUAUAUUAAAGUUGUUGCAGUUAAAAAGCUCGUAGUUGAACCUUGGGCCUGGCUGACCGGUCCGCCUCACCGCGUGCACUGGUUCGGCCGGGCCUUUCCUUCUGCGGAACGGCAUGCCCUUCACUGGGCGUGUUUCGGGAAGCAGGACUUUUACUUUGAAAAAAUUAGAGUGUUCAAAGCAGGCCUUUGCUCGAAUACAUUAGCAUGGAAUAAUGGAAUAGGACGGCGCUCCUAUUUUGUUGGUUUCUAGGAGAGCCGUAAUGAUUAAUAGGGACAGUUGGGGGCAUCCGUAUUCAGUUGUCAGAGGUGAAAUUCUUGGAUUUACUGAAGACGAACUACUGCGAAAGCAUUUGCCAAAGAUGUUUUCAUUAAUCAGUGAACGAAAGUUAGGGGAUCGAAGACGAUCAGAUACCGUCGUAGUCUUAACCAUAAACUAUGCCGACUAGGGAUCGGGCGAUGUUAUUGUAUUGACUCGCUCGGCACCUUUCGAGAAAUCAAAGUGUUUGGGUUCUGGGGGGAGUAUGGUCG